This 73-nucleotide transfer RNA is filed under the name Bos taurus (domestic cattle). It matches the Rfam family "tRNA". Rfam says of the family: Transfer RNA (tRNA) molecules are approximately 80 nucleotides in length. The record is from Rfam by way of RNAcentral. Lineage: Eukaryota; Metazoa; Chordata; Mammalia; Artiodactyla; Bovidae. RNAcentral also lists the same sequence under 1 other name.
UCCUUGGUGGUCUGGCAGUUAAGACUCUGCACUUCCACUGCAGGGGGCGCGGGUUCAAUCCCUAUUUGGGGAA